GGAGCCGGACAAACCGUCGCUGCGGAUCAUUGAAUCCGGAGAGGAAAGUCCGGGCUCCACAGGGCAGGACGCUGGAUAACACCCAGGGGGGGCGACCCCCGGACAGCGCCACAGAAAGUAUACCGCCGCGCCUGGCGCGGUAAGGGUGAAACGGUGAGGCAAGAGCUUACCAGAGGCUGCGGUGACGCAGUCUGCUAGGCAUACCCCGUCUGGAGCAAGACCAAAUAGGGAAAGCGGCCGGCCCGGCCAUUGCUUUCCGGGUAGGUCGCUGGAGGGCGCGGGCAAUCGCGCUCCUAGAGGAAUGACGGUUACGCGCGUUUUGGCGCGCGACAGAACCCGGCUUAUCGUCCGGCUCCCGCC
This 360-nucleotide RNase P RNA is filed under the name Desulfovibrio sp. Its description in RNAcentral is "RNase P RNA component class A". It matches the Rfam family "Bacterial RNase P class A". Rfam says of the family: Ribonuclease P (RNase P) is a ubiquitous endoribonuclease, found in archaea, bacteria and eukarya as well as chloroplasts and mitochondria. Its best characterised activity is the generation of mature 5'-ends of tRNAs by cleaving the 5'-leader elements of precursor-tRNAs. The record is from RNAcentral. Lineage: Bacteria; Pseudomonadati; Thermodesulfobacteriota; Desulfovibrionia; Desulfovibrionales; Desulfovibrionaceae.